GCUACACAUGUAGAACUGUUCGAAGAAGGCUUGCGGACGCGGGUUCAAUUCCCGCCAGCUCCACCA
Molecule: transfer-messenger RNA, 66 nt
Filed under: Alphaproteobacteria bacterium PA3
Lineage: Bacteria; Pseudomonadati; Pseudomonadota; Alphaproteobacteria
Rfam family: transfer-messenger RNA
About the family: Bacterial tmRNA, also known as 10Sa RNA or SsrA, is named for its dual tRNA and mRNA-like properties. Its role is to liberate the mRNA from a stalled ribosome. To accomplish this part of the tmRNA is used as a reading frame that ends in a translation stop signal.
Source: Rfam by way of RNAcentral